RNAcentral lists this ribosomal RNA (116 nucleotides) under Lepisosteus oculatus (spotted gar). The record is from RNAcentral. Lineage: Eukaryota; Metazoa; Chordata; Actinopteri; Semionotiformes; Lepisosteidae.
GCCAACAGCCAUAUCACUCUGCAACUCACAACUGGCAGCCCACUGAAGCUCAGCAGGUGGGAGCCUGGUCAGUACCUGGAUGGGCGACCUCCUGGGAAAAAAGGUUGCUGCUGGAA